Molecule: ribosomal RNA, 253 nt
Filed under: uncultured bacterium
Lineage: Bacteria
Description: partial 16S ribosomal RNA
Rfam family: Bacterial small subunit ribosomal RNA
Source: RNAcentral
UACGGAGGGUGCAAGCGUUAUCCGGAUUCACUGGGUUUAAAGGGUGCGUAGGUGGAUCUAUAAGUCAGUGGUGAAAGCCCCGAGCUCAACUUGGGAAUUGCCAUUGAUACUGUAGAUCUUGAGUGCGGUUGAGGUAGGCGGAAUGUUGCAUGUAGCGGUGAAAUGCUUAGAUAUGUGGAAGAACACCGGUGGCGAAGGCGGGUAGCUGGGCCGACACUGACGCUGAGGCGCGAAAGCCAGGGGAGCGAACGGG